AUUACUUUGGCAGAAUAGUGCAUUAAAUUUAGAAUUUAAGAUUAAAUAUAUAGUA
RNAcentral lists this transfer RNA (55 nucleotides) under Solenopsis substituta. RNAcentral's name for it is "tRNA-Leu". Lineage: Eukaryota; Metazoa; Arthropoda; Insecta; Hymenoptera; Formicidae. The record is from RNAcentral.